This 524-nucleotide ribosomal RNA is filed under the name Actinomycetales bacterium. Its description in RNAcentral is "bacterial SSU rRNA". It matches the Rfam family "Bacterial small subunit ribosomal RNA", at positions 896 to 1421 of the family's 1533-position model. Lineage: Bacteria; Bacillati; Actinomycetota; Actinomycetes; Actinomycetales. The record is from RNAcentral.
AAAACUCAAAGGAAUUGACGGGGGCCCGCACAAGCGGCGGAGCAUGUGGCUUAAUUCGAUGCAACGCGAAGAACCUUACCUAGGCUUGACAUGCAGGGAAAUCUCAUAGAGAUGUGAGGUCCGCAAGGGCCUUGCACAGGUGGUGCAUGGCUGUCGUCAGCUCGUGUCGUGAGAUGUUGGGUUAAGUCCCGCAACGAGCGCAACCCUCGUCCUAUGUUGCCAGCGAGUAAUGUCGGGGACUCAUAGGAGACUGCCGGGGUCAACUCGGAGGAAGGUGGGGAGGACGUCAAGUCAUCAUGCCCCUUAUGUCUAGGGCUGCACACAUGCUACAAUGGCCGGUACAAAGGGCUGCGAUACCGCAAGGUGGAGCGAAUCCCAUAAAGCCGGUCUCAGUUCGGAUUGGGGUCUGCAACUCGACCCCAUGAAGUGGGAGUCGCUAGUAAUCGCAGAUCAGCAACGCUGCGGUGAAUACGUUCCCGGGCCUUGUACACACCGCCCGUCACGUCACGAAAGUCGGUAACACC